This 497-nucleotide ribosomal RNA is filed under the name uncultured bacterium. RNAcentral's name for it is "partial 16S ribosomal RNA". It matches the Rfam family "Bacterial small subunit ribosomal RNA", at positions 28 to 507 of the family's 1533-position model. The record is from RNAcentral.
GAUGAACGCUGGCGGCGUGCCUAAUACAUGCAAGUCGAGCGAACGGACGAGAAGCUUGCUUCUCUGAUGUUAGCGGCGGACGGGUGAGUAACACGUGGAUAACCUACCUAUAAGACUGGGAUAACUUCGGGAAACCGUAGCUAAUACCGGAUAAUAUUUUGAACCGCAUGGUUCAAAAGUGAAAGACGGUCUUGCUGUCACUUAUAGAUGGAUCCGCGCUGCAUUAGCUAGUUGGUAAGGUAACGGCUUACCAAGGCAACGAUGCAUAGCCGACCUGAGAGGGUGGUCGGCCAGCCUGGAACUGAGAAACGGUCCAGACUCCUACGGGAGGCAGCAGUAGGGAAUCUUCCGCAAUGGGCGAAAGCCUGACGGAGCAACGCCGCGUGAGUGAUGAAGGUCUUCGGAUCGUAAAACUCUGUUAUUAGGGAAGAACAUAUGUGUAAGUAACUGUGCACAUCUUGACGGUACCUAAUCAGAAAGCCACGGCUAACUACGUG